Molecule: ribosomal RNA, 325 nt
Filed under: uncultured eukaryote
Lineage: Eukaryota
Description: partial 18S ribosomal RNA
Rfam family: Eukaryotic small subunit ribosomal RNA
Source: RNAcentral
CCCUUAGAUGUUCUGGGCCGCACGCGCGCUACACUGAUGCAUUCAACAAGUUCUACCUUGGCCGAGAGGCCUGGGAAAUCUUUCAAAUAUGUAUCGUGAUAGGGAUAGAUUAUUGCAAUUAUUAAUCUUGAACGAGGAAUUCCUAGUAAAUGCAGAUCAUCAUUCUGCGUUGAUUACGUCCCUGCCCUUUGUACGCACCGCCCGUCGCACCUACCGAUUGAAUGAUCCGGUGAAGCCUCGGGAUUGUGCCCAGAGAACUUUAUUGUGAUUUGGGUGUGAGAACUUGUCUAAACCUUAUCAUUUAGAGGAAGGUGAAGUCGUAACA